Molecule: ribosomal RNA, 253 nt
Filed under: uncultured bacterium
Lineage: Bacteria
Description: partial 16S ribosomal RNA
Rfam family: Bacterial small subunit ribosomal RNA
Source: RNAcentral
UACGAAGGGGGCUAGCGUUGCUCGGAAUCACUGGGCGUAAAGCGCCCGUAGGCGGAUUGCUAAGUCAGGGGUGAAAUCCUGGAGCUCAACUCCAGAACUGCCCUUGAUACUGGCGGUCUCGAGUCCGGGAGAGGUGAGUGGAACUGCGAGUGUAGAGGUGAAAUUCGUAGAUAUUCGCAAGAACACCAGUGGCGAAGGCGGCUCACUGGCCCGGUACUGACGCUGAGGUGCGAAAGCGUGGGGAGCAAACAGG